UCAUGAAAGCCGCUUGUACCCGAAGUCGUCGUGUUAACUCGCAAGAGAGACAGAUGCCGAAGGUAUGGGUGGUGAUUGGGAUG
RNAcentral lists this ribosomal RNA (83 nucleotides) under uncultured bacterium. RNAcentral's name for it is "partial 16S ribosomal RNA". The record is from RNAcentral.